RNAcentral lists this ribosomal RNA (324 nucleotides) under Triticum aestivum (bread wheat). Its description in RNAcentral is "partial small subunit ribosomal RNA". Lineage: Eukaryota; Viridiplantae; Streptophyta; Magnoliopsida; Poales; Poaceae. The record is from RNAcentral.
AUGACACAAAUAUACGAAACCAGGAGAAAAUGGGCAAAGCCAUAUUUCAGGGGUGUGUUUUGUGCAAAAAUGACGAGCACCCAGCGCAGUGAGAGUGCAAACCUUAUGCUGAAGUCAUACAUGCCCUCUGCAAGCCCAAUGCAUGUCUUUGUCAGGCAGUACAUGAGGCUUCAAUUUGGCCGCGAGUGCGAUGAGAGCUACAAGGAGAAGAGGACCAUGAUUCUGUCCGCGGGCCUCUCGGAUUUGGGACCAAAUCGGCCUAACUGCUACGCCGACGAUUCAAGAGCUUUGGCUCCUCCAUAUGCCGCCGCAGCUGGACUCUAG